This 490-nucleotide ribosomal RNA is filed under the name uncultured bacterium. RNAcentral describes it as "partial 16S ribosomal RNA". It matches the Rfam family "Bacterial small subunit ribosomal RNA", at positions 30 to 507 of the family's 1533-position model. The record is from RNAcentral.
AUUGAACGCUGGCGGCAGGCCUAACACAUGCAAGUCGAACGGUAACAGGAAGAAUCUUUCUUCUUUGCUGACGAGUGGCGGACGGGUGAGUAAUGUCUGGGAAACUGCCUGAUGGAGGGGGAUAACUACUGGAAACGGUAGCUAAUACCGCAUAACGUCGCAAGCCCAAAGAGGGGGACCUUCUGGCCUCUUGCCAGCUGAUGUGCCCAGAUGGGAUUAGCUUGUAGGUGGGGUAACGGCUCACCUAGGCGACGAUCCCUAGCUGGUCUGGGGGGAUGACCACCCACACUGGAACUGAGCCACGGUCCAGACUCCUACGGGAGGCAGCAGUGGGGAAUAUUGCACAAUGGGCGCAAGCCUGAUGCAGCCAUGCCGCGUGUAUGACGACGGCCUUCGGGUUGUAAAGUACUUUCAGCGGGGAUGAAGGGAGUAAAGUUAAUACCUUUGCUCAUUGACGUUACCCGCAGAAGAAGCACCGGCUAACUCCGUG